GACGAACGCUGGCGGCGUGCUUAACACAUGCAAGUCGUACGGUAAGGCCCUUUCGGGGGUACACGAGUGGCGAACGGGUGAGUAACACGUGAGUAACCUGCCCACAACUUUGGGAUAACGCUAGGAAACUGGUGCUAAUACUGGAUAUGUGCUCCUGCUGCAUGGUGGGGGUUGGAAAGCUCCGGCGGUUGUGGAUGGACUCGCGGCCUAUCAGCUUGUUGGUGGGGUAGUGGCCUACCAAGGCGGCGACGGGUAGCCGGCCUGAGAGGGUGACCGGCCACAUUGGGACUGAGAUACGGCCCAGACUCCUACGGGAGGCAGCAGUGGGGAAUAUUGCACAAGGGGCGCAAGCCUGAUGCAGCAACGCCGCGUGCGGGAGGACGGCCUUCGGGUUGUAAACCGCUUUCAGCAGGGACGAAGCUUUUUGUGACGGUACCUGCAGAAGAAGCACCGGCUAACUACGUG
RNAcentral lists this ribosomal RNA (465 nucleotides) under uncultured bacterium. RNAcentral's name for it is "partial 16S ribosomal RNA". It matches the Rfam family "Bacterial small subunit ribosomal RNA", at positions 28 to 507 of the family's 1533-position model. The record is from RNAcentral.